RNAcentral lists this long non-coding RNA (875 nucleotides) under Glycine max (soybean). RNAcentral describes it as "long non-coding RNA (GMAX_LNC003945)". The record is from RNAcentral. Lineage: Eukaryota; Viridiplantae; Streptophyta; Magnoliopsida; Fabales; Fabaceae.
GGUAGACUCUUUCACAAGAAUCUAACUAUGCCGCCGCACAAUUUGUCUCAUAACCACUACAUGCAAUUUAAAAGGGUAUCUUAAGGCUUUUCAUCUCUGGUAAUCGAUUACACAGCCUUGGUAAUCGAUUACCAGAGGCUAAACUCGAAUUACACAGCCUCAGAACAUGAAAUAUGCAAAAAUGCACUGUGUAAUCGAUUACACAUACCUGGUAAUCGAUUACCAGUGACCCAUCCCUCUGUGUAAUUGAUUACACAGGCUGGUAAUCGAUUACCAGAGGCCUCCACAAUGUUCCAGUCCCCUUUCUAAGCCUGGUAAUCGAUUACACCCCCUUGGUAAUCGAUUACCAGAAGCCCUCAUGGCUUCCUGACCUCGUUUUCAAGCCUGGUAAUCGAUUACACCCCGUGGUAAUCGAUUACCAGAGACCAUCUUAGCCUCCUGUCUUCAUUUUUAAGCCUUGUAAUCGAUUACCCACCCUUGGUAAUCGAUUACCAGAGGCCACAACCCAUAUAUCACACAAAAUUCACAGCUGGCCAGCCACCACAAGCCUCCUUGCUUUGUGGUCUUUGUUCCUUUUAUCUGUUGACUGCCAGGAGCUCGCCUGUUUAGGUACAUCACAGGUUCUCACUUACCGACUAUGCCCGGGUUGGGUCGGGAUUGGUCAAGCUUGGUUUUGGGCAAUAGCACCCCACCUGACGUCCCCAAGGUCUCCUGACCCCCACGACAUAUCUCCAGGUACCACUCUGUGGUCAACAAUAAAAGCAGGAAGUUUCACCCUUCAACACUUCCUCAUCUCAAGCUUGUAGGAUUAUGGGGUACCCAUCACAUGUGGUACUAGGUGGCGGUCGGGCGAUGGUGCACAACAAGUUUUCCAC